UGGGGAAUAUUGCACAAUGGGCGCAAGCCUGAUGCAGCAACGCCGCGUGAACGAUGAAGGUCAUCGGAUCGUAAAGUUCUGUUGCAGGGGAAGAUAAUGACGGUACCCUGUGAGGAAGCCCCGGCUAACUACGUGCCAGCAGCCGCGGUAAUACGUAGGGGGCUAGCGUUAUCCGGAUUUACUGGGCGUAAAGGGUGCGUAGGUGGUCUUUCAAGUCGGUGGUUAAAGGCUACGGCUCAACCGUAGUUAGCCUCCGAAACUGGAAGACUUAAGUGCAGGAGAGGAAAGUGGAAUUCCCAGUGUAGCGGUGAAAUGCGUAGAUAUUGGGAGGAACACCAGUAGCGAAGGCGGCUUUCUGGACUGCAACUGACACUGAGGCACGAAAGCGUGGGUAGCAAACAGG
RNAcentral lists this ribosomal RNA (403 nucleotides) under Verrucomicrobiota bacterium. Its description in RNAcentral is "Verrucomicrobia bacterium partial 16S ribosomal RNA". It matches the Rfam family "Bacterial small subunit ribosomal RNA", at positions 355 to 776 of the family's 1533-position model. Lineage: Bacteria; Pseudomonadati; Verrucomicrobiota. The record is from RNAcentral.